GGAAGUAAACGUCGUAACAAGGUUUCCGUAGGUGAACCUGCGGAAGGAUCAUUAUUGUAUAACCGAGGUGCGAGGGCUGUCGCUGACCCGAAAGGUCGUGCACGCCCGAGUGCCCUCACACACAUCCAUCUCACCCCUAUGUGCACCACCGCGUGGGUCCCCCUUUGGCUUGUUCGGAGGGGGGCUUACGUUUUCACACAAACUUUGUAUGCAAUGUAGAAUGUAUUUUUUGUUUUUGCGAUCACGCAAUCAAUACAACUUUCAACAACGGAUCUCUUGGCUCUC
Molecule: unclassified non-coding RNA, 285 nt
Filed under: plant metagenome
Description: partial contains small subunit ribosomal RNA, internal transcribed spacer 1, and 5.8S ribosomal RNA
Rfam family: Eukaryotic small subunit ribosomal RNA (bases 1-54)
Source: RNAcentral